Non-coding RNA from Rattus norvegicus (Norway rat), 840 nucleotides. NCBI's taxonomy places the organism in Eukaryota, Metazoa, Chordata, Mammalia, Rodentia, Muridae. The record is from the annotation of a RefSeq genome assembly.
UAUUUAUGCUGAUGGUAUUUUUGCCUGUUGAAUGACACCAGACACCCACACACACACUGCCCAGGCGACUGUUUUGUAUUUUCUGUCUGCUUUGCAUGGUUUCCUAUAACCUAGCCCAGCUGCUCAGAAUUUAUGAACCAGACCUUUGCACUGUGAGUGAACUGCAUCAGACAGGCAGGGGGAGCAAGAUGGAAUCACAGACGCAUGUCCUCAUUUCCCUUCUGCUCUGUGUAUCAGGUACCUGUGGGGACAUUUUGAUAAACCAGUCUCCAGCCUCUCUGACUGUGUCAGCAGGAGAGAAGGUCACUAUGAGCUGCAAGUCCAGUCAGAGUCUUCUAUACAGUGAAAACAACCAGGACUAUUUGGCUUGGUACCAGCAGAAACCAGGGCAGUUUCCUAAACUGCUUAUCUAUGGGGCAUCCAACCGGCACACUGGGGUCCCUGAUCGCUUCACAGGCAGUGGAUCUGGGACAGACUUCACUCUGACCAUCAGCAGUGUGCAGGCUGAAGACCUGGCUGAUUAUUACUGUGAGCAGACCUACAGCUAUCCUCCCACAGUGCCUCAGCCUCCUACAAAAAACUCCUUGAGAGUUUCAACAGCUGUAUAGACCAUACACAGUUGUGGGCAUGCACAGUUCCCCCUUCUUCCUGAGAGCUGCCAUGCCUGCAAAACUGAAGAAAACAUUUACAGUGCCCAAUAAAAAAUAAUGUGUUCAAUGCCUCUUAUGUCUUUUGGCAUAAAAACUCUAUAUACCAAAAUACAGAAAAAAUAUCCCCAGUAUUAUUUUCUAUUCCUUCUGAAAUAUGAACAAUAUACCACAAACUGUUGAAUGAAUAUGA